This 228-nucleotide ribosomal RNA is filed under the name uncultured bacterium. Its description in RNAcentral is "partial 16S ribosomal RNA". It matches the Rfam family "Bacterial small subunit ribosomal RNA", at positions 568 to 796 of the family's 1533-position model. The record is from RNAcentral.
UGCGUAGGCGGUUUGUUAAGUCACUUGUAAAAGAUCUCAGCCCAACUGAGUAAGGCGAGUGAAACUGGCAGACUUGAAUACGGUAGAGGUAAGUGGAAUUCCAUGUGUAGCGGUGGAAUGCGUAGAUAUAUGGAGGAACACCAAUGGCGAAGGCAACUUACUGGGCCGGAAUUGACGCUGAGGCACGAAAGCGUGGGGAGCAAACAGGAUUAGAUACCCUGGUAGUCC